This 527-nucleotide ribosomal RNA is filed under the name uncultured bacterium. Its description in RNAcentral is "bacterial SSU rRNA". It matches the Rfam family "Bacterial small subunit ribosomal RNA", at positions 8 to 526 of the family's 1533-position model. The record is from RNAcentral.
AGAGUUUGAUCAUGGCUCAGAUUGAACGCUGGCGGCAGGCCUAACACAUGCAAGUCGAGCGGUAGCACAGAGAGCUUGCUCUCGGGUGACGAGCGGCGGACGGGUGAGUAAUGUCUGGGAAACUGCCUGAUGGAGGGGGAUAACUACUGGAAACGGUAGCUAAUACCGCAUAACGUCGCAAGACCAAAGCGGGGGACCUCCGGGCCUCGCGCCAUCAGAUGAACCCAUAUGGGAUUAGCUAGUAGGUAAGGUAACGGCUUACCUAGGCGACGAUCCCUAGCUGGUCUGAGAGGAUGAUCAGCCACACUGGGACUGAGACACGGCCCAGACUCCUACGGGAGGCAGCAGUGGGGAAUAUUGCACAAUGGGCGCAAGCCUGAUGCAGCCAUGCCGCGUGUAUGAAGAAGGCCUUCGGGUUGUAAAGUACUUUCAGCGAGGAGGAAGGCGAUAAGGUUAAUAACCUUGUCGAUUGACGUUACUCGCAGAAGAAGCACCGGCUAACUCCGUGCCAGCAGCCGCGGUAAUUC